CAAAUCCUGUAACCAAUCAGCUAAGGAAAGAAAGGUACCAUGCAUGGUUGCACGACAACGGAAAAAUAAAUUUACCGUGUAUAUGGCCUGUGAUUCUAGAAUGUGCCCCCACCAUUCUGCCACUGGAGCUAAUUAUGAGGUUGCUUUCAAGCAAUGCUGGCUCAAUAAGUGUAAGUGUGCUGGAAACAUUGUUUCCAAGUGGUAUGGCACUAAAUUUUCUUAGGCAUUUCUUUUAGAGAAUAUCCCUCCUUAGCGAUCUGGAGUAAAAAGAGCUGUUUGGUGUUGAGAUAACCAAUCUGAAAUAACUCAACUUUCUUCUAGAGUGUCAUAAAGACUCUAUGCGUACGGUCCCGCAGCGAAAUAUAGGCCGACUUUGAAAUGUUAUUUUGUUUUCCUAAUCUAGGUUUAAUUUCUGCAGUGUGUUUAAUUUCCGCUUUUAUGUGGCGAUAUUCAGGGUUUGUCCUUUUCCUUGAUUUGCUAUGUUGGACACCAAAAGAUU
This 499-nucleotide unclassified non-coding RNA is filed under the name Tomato black ring virus. RNAcentral's name for it is "partial defective interfering RNA". The record is from RNAcentral. Lineage: Riboviria; Orthornavirae; Pisuviricota; Pisoniviricetes; Picornavirales; Secoviridae.